This 178-nucleotide ribosomal RNA is filed under the name Amycolatopsis decaplanina DSM 44594. RNAcentral's name for it is "partial 16S ribosomal RNA". It matches the Rfam family "Bacterial small subunit ribosomal RNA", at positions 1368 to 1533 of the family's 1533-position model. The record is from RNAcentral. Lineage: Bacteria; Bacillati; Actinomycetota; Actinomycetes; Pseudonocardiales; Pseudonocardiaceae.
ACGUUCCCGGGCCUUGUACACACCGCCCGUCACGUCAUGAAAGUCGGUAACACCCGAAGCCCAUGGCCCAACCUCGUAAGGGGAGGGAGUGGUCGAAGGUGGGACUGGCGAUUGGGACGAAGUCGUAACAAGGUAGCCGUACCGGAAGGUGCGGCUGGAUCACCUCCUUUCUAAGGAG